UUUGGCUCUGGCAGGGAGUGGGGUCUGGUGGGUUAGAGCUAUGGGGCAGAGAGACAGGACUCCUGGGUUCUCUCCUUUGGCUCUGGCAGGGGAGUGGGGUCUGGUGGGUUAGAGCUAUGGGGCAGAGAGACAGGACUCCUGGGUUCUCUCCUUUGGCCCUGGCAGGGGGUGGGGUCUGGUGGGUUAGAGCUAUGGGGCAGAGAGACAGGACUCUUGGGUUCUCUCCUUUGGCUCUGGCAGGGGAGUGGGGUCUGGUGGGUUAGAGCUAUGGGGCAGAGAGCCAGGACUCCUGGGUUCUAGCCCCAGCUCUGGUCCUGAUUCCCUCGGUGAGCAGCAGUUUUGCCACCUGAUGCUAGGGCCCUGUAGAGAACAGGGCACGUUUAUUGCAGGGAGAUGCAGAGGGUUAAGGCACUGAUUGUCCCCCUCCCCCACCACAGCCUGUGGGCCGUUAUCACCUUCUGGGGCCCCUGGUUUCCCGCCCGUGUUUCGACACAGGCCCCCUAUGAUUUCCCAAGGCCCCAGCGGGAUGUUGCACAAGGCAAAACUGACGCCCGGCCUCUCUUGGUUAACACUGCGCCUGGCUCCAGCCGGGCACGUCCCCCUCCCUUGCUCCUGGGCCCAGGGCAUGGGACAGGGUGGGGGGGUUGCAGGGCCUCUCUGUGACAUCCUCCUUAAGAGCGGCCUCCCCACCAGCCCUGGCCACUGCCCAGCCCUCUCGGCUCAUCAGGGUGGCCCUGCCCUGCACCCUUGGCCCAGGCAGCCCUGCCAUGUGAUCAGCACCAUGCACUGCGCUGGGAGGACCCUUGGUGCAAACACUCCAGCAUCCCCCAGCACAGCCACUCGCAAACACUGCUCACUGCCCUUGUAGCAUCGGAGGCAGGGUGGUCUCGUGGGGAGUGCAAUGGACUGGGACUCGAGAGAGCUGGGGUCUGUCCCUGGCUCUGGCCUGUUGGGUGACCUUAGGCAAGCUGUGCCGCUCGCUGCCUCAGUUUCCCCAUCUGUACAAUAGGGUUCACAGCGCUGACUUCCUCGGUGAAGCGCUUUGAGAUCAACAGAGAAGAGCCUGCCAGGACUGUCACUAUGGCCCUGGGAGCUGGCAGUUUGUGCCAGACCCUACGACGGCUCUGACAGCUGAGAUCCCACUUUACCCACCAGCAGUGCUGACCCCUGCCUGCUCUCUCCCCUGUGCCCCGCCCUGCCUUCCAGCUGCUGGGUCUCAGAUACUCCCCCACCAGGUGGGACCCACAUCCCCUCCUGCACCCACUCCAGGUGUCACCCAGUGGCGCAGGGUGGGGACACUUUCCCUCCAGACCCCUGCGCCUCCCAGCUGGCAUCCUGCAACCUUAGCAUUAGCAGGAGCCGGCAAGCAUUGUGCACCACUGCCCUCUGCUAGGCAGGAUAAGGACUGCUCAACUGUGUGUCAGAGGCCCUGCACUGCUGAGGGGGAUUCUCCCUUGGUGCAGGUGGCUUUGACACCAGGAGGAUCUGAGUUCUGUGUCUCAUCCAGCUAGGCAUGGAGUUCCCAGUGCCCAUGGCUUUGCUACAAGAUUCUACCCAGCUCCUGUACCUUGCUCAGGGAGACCCUACAAUAACAAACCAGCAUGCACAGCAGUGGGCUCGGUGGGCUUUUCAAGCUCCCAGAGAUGUUCAGGUCAGGCUGGCGUCAG
Long non-coding RNA from Gopherus flavomarginatus (Mexican gopher tortoise), 1667 nucleotides. RefSeq lists it as uncharacterized. NCBI's taxonomy places the organism in Eukaryota, Metazoa, Chordata, Testudines, Testudinidae. The record is from RefSeq and is a predicted model, not a curated record. The transcript is spliced from 4 exons.